This 234-nucleotide long non-coding RNA is filed under the name Solanum tuberosum (potato). RNAcentral describes it as "long non-coding RNA (STUB_LNC005288)". Lineage: Eukaryota; Viridiplantae; Streptophyta; Magnoliopsida; Solanales; Solanaceae. The record is from RNAcentral.
AGUUAUUUGGAGCUGGUGAGAGCGAGUGUUCAGUGAUUAUGUUUUGGGCUUAUGCAUUGGCUUCAAUAGCGCUUACUCUGUGGACAACAUUCUUCAUGUGGCUUGUAUCUUAACUUCAUUUUUUUAAUAUCAGACAUAAACAAGUUGACAUGUCCACCAGUCUACUAUGAUAACGAAAAUCAGGAACUAAAAGUUCAACCCUGUUAGAUGUAAUCAUUAAUAUAACCAGUGUAA